RNAcentral lists this transfer RNA (76 nucleotides) under Rhodanobacteraceae bacterium. RNAcentral's name for it is "tRNA-Glu". It matches the Rfam family "tRNA". From Rfam's summary of the family: Transfer RNA (tRNA) molecules are approximately 80 nucleotides in length. The record is from RNAcentral. Lineage: Bacteria; Pseudomonadati; Pseudomonadota; Gammaproteobacteria; Lysobacterales; Rhodanobacteraceae.
GCUCCCUUCGUCUAGUGGCCCAGGACAUCGCCCUCUCACGGCGGUAACGCGAGUUCGAGUCUCGCAUGGAGCGCCA